GGUUAAAAAGCUCGUAGUUGGAUUUCUGUUGAGAACAGCCGGUCCACCUCUUGGGUGAGUAUCUGGAUUGGUCUCGGCAUCCUCUCGAAACUCGUUGCUGCGCUUGAUUGCGUGGUGCGGUGUUCGGGACUUUUACUUUGAGGAAAUUAGAGUGUUCACGGCAGGCAUUCGCCUUGAAUAUAUUAGCAUGGAAUAAUACUAUAGGAUCUUGGUUCUAUUUUGUUGGUUUCUAGGGCUAAGAUAAUAAUCAAUAGGGACAAUUGGGGGCAUUCGUAUUACGGCGUCAGAGGUGAAAUUCUUGGAUUGCCGUACGACGAACUACUGCGAAAGCAUUUGCCAAGGAUGUUUUCAUUGAUCAAGAACGAAAGUAAGGGGAUCGAAGAUGAUUAGAUACCGUCGUAGUCUUUACCAUAAACUAUGCCGACUAGGGAUGAGGCGUCGUUCUUCUAUGACUCGCUUCGCACCUUAUGAGAAAUCAAAGUUUUUGGGUUCCGGGGGGAGUAUGGUCGCAAGGCUGAAACUUAAAGGAAUUGACGGAAGGGCACCACCAGGAGUGGAGCCUGCGGCUUAAUUUGACUCAACACGGGAAAACCCACCAGGUCCAGACAUAGUAAGGAUUGACAGAUUGAUAGCUCUUUCUUGAUUCUAUGGGGUGUGGGUGCAUGGCCCGU
This 671-nucleotide ribosomal RNA is filed under the name uncultured marine eukaryote. RNAcentral describes it as "SSU rRNA". It matches the Rfam family "Eukaryotic small subunit ribosomal RNA", at positions 617 to 1292 of the family's 1831-position model. The record is from RNAcentral.